RNAcentral lists this long non-coding RNA (366 nucleotides) under Capsicum annuum. RNAcentral describes it as "long non-coding RNA (CANN_LNC012478)". The record is from RNAcentral. Lineage: Eukaryota; Viridiplantae; Streptophyta; Magnoliopsida; Solanales; Solanaceae.
GGGGUUGCUUGGCUAGCAUAUUUGCCUCUACUUCCUAAGUAGCUCCCUCAACUAACUGAUUUCUCCAUAGAACCUUUACUAAAGCGACCUCUUUAUUUUCUAGUCUAUGAAUCUGAUGAUCAAUGAUAUCAACUGGGACUUUUCAUAAGAGAGACUAUUUUCAAUGCCAAUCCUUUCUAAAGAGGCUACUUAUGCUGGGUCACCAAUGCACUUAUUAAGCAAGGAUACAUGGAAGACUAGAUACACUGAUUCUAUCUCUCCAGGAAAAUCCAACUCAUAGGCUACCUUACCAUAUCGAUAAAGAAUCUUUUAAGUACCGAUAGAAUAGGGACUGAGCUUUCAUUUCUUACCAAACCUCUUCACCAC